UUAAUGUUUUCAUUUUUUUAGUUGCAAAGUUGCGCAGUCUUCCGAUGGUUUCUUUUUUUCUCUGGCCAAUGAUCUAAGUUGCUUGUCAACGCACCACACGCAAAAAAAAAUAGAAAUCCACUGAAUGGCAGUCUCCGGAUUCCCCGUCGCAUGUCAAGUGUCGCAGCUGAUUUGUCGCCAAGUUGUCGGCAUUUGCGGGAAGAUAACUCCCAUCACAAGGAGUGGACACAUCCGACCACCCGUUUGAUUAACCGCCAGAGAGGCGUCCUCGCACACCCGCUCAUCUACAGCCAGCGUCGCUAUCCUACAAAAGGAUAACACUUUCAGCGAGAGUGGAAAGUGGAGCUAUUUGCUGUGAUGUGGAUGCCGGCAGGGUGCCCCUAUGUCCCUUCGCCCACAGCGCCAAGUCACCAGCCCCCAGCCCCUGGGCCAUCCCCUCAAAGACGCCGUGAUCCAAAGUGGACCAGGACCUGGUUGGUUUGUCAACUUCAGCGUCAGCGUCAAACGAAUCCGAGUAGGAACACAAAGGCUGAGACAAAAGCGGCAUGUUCAAAAACUAGACAAAUAUUAACUCAUAUGCAGCUUGAGGUUGAGCGGAGAAGUAGAAGCCUUUGUCUUUGGCCCUACAGUCUUACCUCUGUAAGACGAAUUUGCGCAGGGAAAUUACAAACUAUCAAAACGUUUUAUUUUAAAACCGGGUUGGAUUAUGAAAAUAUCCAAUUGGUAAUAAGAUCUACACUAUCAGCACAUAAUUUUAUAUACAAAAUGUAAACAAAUAAGAUUUAAGUUUGUCUGUUAAUCCAACACCAUCAUUGUUAUGUUUUUCUGUAAGGUUUAGAGCCAGCUAAUUAUAGGCAAUCUCCACUGUACAUGUGUGAUUGUGGCUUCAACUCCGUUUUGAUUGCAAUGGGAGAACAAUAUGCAUCAAACAGAAAAUAGCGCCACUUUACAAAAAGGGAUGCAAAGGAGCCGCAAAAGGACCUGCACGUCGUACACACAUUCAACCCAAAAGCUUCACACACACAUCCAUAAACACGUUGCACCCAAAUGCAUCCCACAAACACUUGUCGUUUGAUUUGUUUACCG
Drosophila sechellia is the source of this 1086-nucleotide long non-coding RNA. RefSeq lists it as uncharacterized. NCBI's taxonomy places the organism in Eukaryota, Metazoa, Arthropoda, Insecta, Diptera, Drosophilidae. The record is from RefSeq and is a predicted model, not a curated record. The transcript has 4 exons.